Molecule: transfer RNA, 73 nt
Filed under: Fasciola hepatica (liver fluke)
Lineage: Eukaryota; Metazoa; Platyhelminthes; Trematoda; Plagiorchiida; Fasciolidae
Rfam family: tRNA
About the family: Transfer RNA (tRNA) molecules are approximately 80 nucleotides in length.
Source: Rfam by way of RNAcentral
ACCGCGAUAGCUCAGCUGGUAGAGCAUCUGCCCGGUAUGCAUAGGGUCGCCGGUUCGAUUCCGGCUCGCGGCG